UGCACUUACCUGUUCUUAAUUAUCAUUUUAAGUGUGAAUUUUAUCAUUUUUUUUUAAUUGUAUUUUAUUUUGAAAACCCAGAAACCGGAUCUCACCCUAACGUUUAGAAGCUGCUAAGGCUUCCGCUCCUCACAGCGCGCGCUUGCACUGUGAGGGAGCUACAAUUGCCGGUACCACCAGAAGACACCUGUUGAAUGUGUUUUAUGUCUUCUGCAGAAGUAAACUGUGAAAAGCCAACCCUUCUGAGCGUCUGUGA
This is a non-coding RNA of Maylandia zebra (zebra mbuna), 256 nucleotides long. The record is from RefSeq and is a predicted model, not a curated record. NCBI's taxonomy places the organism in Eukaryota, Metazoa, Chordata, Actinopteri, Cichliformes, Cichlidae.